GUUGGCUGUGUUGCUGGUAGUACAGGCGCUCUAGGUGUCCGGGGUCUGUAGUGCGUGCUGUGUGAGGGGCCCGGCCCGAUGGCCACACCCGUCGACGCUGGCGGCAUCCAUACGGCACAAUGGAAUUGGAGAUCAGUACUUGUCAUUGGAAAGAGUGAGAAAAAAGAAACAUAAGUAACAAAGAACCAUUUCAAGGUACAUACAAAUAAACAUGAAAAG
Pelobates cultripes (western spadefoot toad) is the source of this 219-nucleotide non-coding RNA. The record is from the annotation of a GenBank genome assembly. NCBI's taxonomy places the organism in Eukaryota, Metazoa, Chordata, Amphibia, Anura, Pelobatidae.